ACAAAUCCAAUAAUUGUGAGAGGGGGUAAAACCCUUUUUGCAAAUAUUAAACCCGCCGGUUCUUUUUUUAGGGCUGGUUGGCUAAAUAAAUGCGUGUUGUGUUGACAGUGUGUGUGUGAGUGACUUAAAUUUAUUGA
Molecule: unclassified non-coding RNA, 137 nt
Filed under: uncultured Rozellomycota
Lineage: Eukaryota; Fungi; Rozellomycota
Description: uncultured Cryptomycota sequence contains ITS1
Source: RNAcentral